Long non-coding RNA from Nymphaea colorata (pocket water lily), 1659 nucleotides. RefSeq lists it as uncharacterized. The transcript has 7 exons. NCBI's taxonomy places the organism in Eukaryota, Viridiplantae, Streptophyta, Magnoliopsida, Nymphaeales, Nymphaeaceae. The record is from RefSeq and is a predicted model, not a curated record.
GAGGGGUCGGAGAGAGCACCUCUCUUGCUUCUGUUCCUUUCCCUCUCAUUCACCCCGUCCUUCCCCCCUCUGGCCUCUGCGUCUUGCAUGUCUAUGUUGUUUUCUGCUUCUUAGGCUCUUAGUUUUCUUUAUCCAUUCAGCGGGUAAGGUUCACCAGAGAAGAAGAAGCGUAUCGAUGGCUUCAUGGAACUCUUUCUCCAAGGGGCGGGGUUGGUAAAUCUUCUGCCUGACUCUCCCUCUUCGGUCGUUUCUGCCAUGAACAUCACCUUCUAAGGUCAUGUGGAUGCAAUUGCAGUUUCGAGGAUCCAGCAAUUUCUGUUGAACUUGCAGUGUAACAUAUGUAGAAGAGGAUGUGGUGCAGGAGCAAAAAAUGGAGCAUCUUUGUACCAUGCAUUUAAGUAGAAUAAAUACAAAAGGUGCUUAUCAGAAUGAGCAGAUGCUUCAUCUUUUGCCUUGGCACAUCUGAAGCGGCAUGGUGUUUGAGGUGUGGCAGUAAGAGCAGGAGUCCCAAUCAAUCAAGCCAGACCUCAUGAAGCAGCUGUUUGACAUGUUUUGUUUUCUUCUGGACAUUCAUAACCCAAGUAUGGCAUCUACCAUGGCCCCUUCUCCAGCAAUUCAGACACCAUCACGUUAGUUUUUUAUGCCGGAGGAUGUGUAUGCACCGUAAAUUUAAGUCUAUGUCCACCACCAGAGCCCCACCAUUAAUGCAUGGGCUUCAUAAUGAUGCUAACGCUUUGGUGGCUCACAGGAAUGAACCCAUCUGGUUAGGAUGUGCAUGGACACCUUAGUAAUCUGGUUCUACACGUGGGGCUGAGGCUCGGUGUUCGUGGACCUCCUUGACAUACUCAAGUUUUGACCCCACAGUUGGAAAAGGCAAGUCUUAAAUUGGAUACAAAUCUGUAAUCGGUGUUAGCUGCAUUCGCUACGGGAAAUCGAGAUAAUCCCGAGUCAGAUUGGACUUUGAUUUUGUGGGAAAAUCCGAUACAAUUGGUGCAGAAAAGAAGUUCCAGGCUAUGUUGCGGGGCGACUGCUUGGCGUCGGAGUUCCGGGCUCCGGUGGGCGGCAGCUUUCCGGCAGCGACGACCCUCUUGGCAAAGGCGUCCAGCCGCUCACAGUUGGGCUGGGCGGCGAGCUUCUUGCCGCCGAAGGGCAGGGACUCCAUGCUCUUCUCCUGCAGCAUCUUCUCGCCAGCGUUCAGAAAGGCCUUCACGCUCCUCACUGACCACCCGUCCAUGCCGGCCUCCAACUCCUUAGGGAGGUAGCUUGCCUGCAUCAUAAGCAUUCAAUCAACAAACAAUCCAGAAGCAAAUUCCGCACUUGUCUACCCUUUGCAUGUAAGCUUUCCGGGAGACCGAGACCAUUAGCAUGACGAGGAAAGAUUUUUAAUGGGCUGCGGCAAACUCGGCCGUCAAUAUCAGUAUGCUGUCCAGUGUCAACAGCACUAAGAAAUCGUCAUGUGCAGAAAAUAACGCAAUAACGUAUUGUUUGGCUGGAUUAACCCGCCACCGCCGUUUCCCUGCUCCCGCUAAAUCCGGUUGUCUGUGGAGUAGCAUGAUUCCGGCUGAGCCAUCUGCAACUCCAGACCAGCAAUGGCCCCUACCACCUACUUGCCGUUCUACCUAGCGUGCUCGCCAUUAAUAAACAGGCCAUCCUCUAAUU